GACGUCCAUUUUUAAAAUUGCUGCUGCAUUUUGCCCCCCUCAAUGCUGGCUGUGCCAAAGAUGGACCACAUAAAGCGAGUGACCUGUGUUCGAAGUUUCGUCUCUUAAUAGAUAAAAUUUCCUGUUAGGGUCGCACAAUU
RNAcentral lists this small nucleolar RNA (140 nucleotides) under Drosophila ananassae. Its description in RNAcentral is "snoRNA:GF26064". Lineage: Eukaryota; Metazoa; Arthropoda; Insecta; Diptera; Drosophilidae. The record is from RNAcentral.